AGCAAUUUGGCGCAGUGGAAGCGCGGUAUGUUUCUCUACAACAUGCAUCAGUUGGCCAAUGAUACUAACAGACACAGCCGGGCUCAUAACCCGGAGGUCGCACGAUCGAAACGUGCAAUUGCUA
This 124-nucleotide transfer RNA is filed under the name Fusarium redolens. RNAcentral describes it as "tRNA-Arg". Lineage: Eukaryota; Fungi; Ascomycota; Sordariomycetes; Hypocreales; Nectriaceae. The record is from RNAcentral.